This is a long non-coding RNA of Gymnodraco acuticeps, 622 nucleotides long. RefSeq lists it as uncharacterized. The record is from RefSeq and is a predicted model, not a curated record. The transcript has 4 exons. NCBI's taxonomy places the organism in Eukaryota, Metazoa, Chordata, Actinopteri, Perciformes, Bathydraconidae.
CCAGACAUAGAGGGAACGAACAAGAGUGCUGCAAAUUGAAGCCGGAGGAAACGAAGUUGAUCGAAGUGGAAAAAGACGAUAUAUAAAAAGGAUGGAGCACCAACCCCAUUCCAGGAAGAGGUCCAGUCUGCCCCGGGUCAGAACCACUUCUAUAGCAACUACACAACUGUGUAUGCACUUAUCAUUAUUGAUAGCCAGUCUGAGCCAGAAGACACAAUGGAGCAAAGCACAGAAUACCUGACUGCGGCACACAUUGUUGCAGAACUCUCUGCAAAAAUAACAAAUACAUCUUGCAGCAGGUUCAAUAUUAAUAGAGCCAGUGUGUGCGAUGGAGCAAUCCGCGGCUUCAAAGGUGCCUCAUUCGAUCCCUCUCAUGAGAUGUCAGUUAAGUUCACUGAUGAUGAGGGACACACUGAGGAUGGAGGGGACAAUGGUGGUCCCAAGCGUGAGUUCCUGACCCUCCUUAUGGAAUGCCUGAGAAUGAAGAAAACAUCACGUCAGCAACUGUUUGUGCCCCAUGGCGGUGUGACUUUCCCAGCCGCUCACUGUCUCAAAAUCUGAUUCUAAAUAUAUAAUGUUCUCUAUAAAGAUAUAACUAAUACACAAUUAUGAAUGUAUAAUA